Acanthochromis polyacanthus (spiny chromis) is the source of this 569-nucleotide long non-coding RNA. RefSeq lists it as uncharacterized. NCBI's taxonomy places the organism in Eukaryota, Metazoa, Chordata, Actinopteri, Pomacentridae. The record is from RefSeq and is a predicted model, not a curated record. The transcript has 2 exons.
UGAGAGCAGGUCUGGAGCUCUAGGCCAAUCACUCCUCAUGACUCCCAGGUGGGAUCUGGAGCUCGGUCUUCAGUCAGCUGUGAUCAACACAGUCUCCACAAGCCACCUCGACACACAGAGCCUGUACAAAUUCCAAUACCAACCGCAUGACUGAGGACGUAACAACAGCAUAUAAAAACACCAUAUGGACAUGUUAACAAGUACCACCCAGCUGUCCGGAUCCCCUCCUGACCUGUCUGCCCCCAGCAAUGCUCCCCUCCUUGGAUUCCCUCUUCGGCUCCCCUCCUGCGCCCCGGAUCCACCUGCCGGCCCUGCACUCCUAGACCACCCGCACCUGGCCUCCUCCUUCCCGCGACAUCCAUGCCUCCAACCCUCCUGCUGCCGCCAGGGAUCCAUCCGCUGCCCAGCCGUUGCACUCUGGUCCCCCCCAGAACCACCUCGACCGCUGAUCCCUGGCUCCGGCGCCCCAUCCCCGGACCUUCUCCACCACACCCUUCCGGACUCUCCCCUGGCUCUCCACUCCUCCACUACUCCCCACCCCCCGGCAAUAAAUCACUCACUUAAACCUG